RNAcentral lists this ribosomal RNA (465 nucleotides) under uncultured bacterium. RNAcentral's name for it is "partial 16S ribosomal RNA". It matches the Rfam family "Bacterial small subunit ribosomal RNA", at positions 28 to 523 of the family's 1533-position model. The record is from RNAcentral.
GAUAAACGCUGGCGGCGUGCUUCAGGCAUGCAAGUCGAACGAGCACUUCGGUGCUAGUGGCGGACGGGUGAGUAACACGUGAGCAACCUGCCCGGAAGUGGGGCAUAACUUGCCGAAAGGCGAGCUAAUACCGCAUGUGAUGGUUCUUCUUUGGAGGGCCCAUUAAAGGCGAAAGUCGCUUCCGGAGGGGCUUGCGGUCGAUUAGCUAGUUGGUGGGGUAACGGCCUACCAAGGCGACGAUCGAUAGCUGGUCUGAGAGGACGGUCAGCCACACGGGGACUGAGAUACGGCCCCGACUCCUACGGGAGGCAGCAGCUAGGAAUCUUGGGAAUGGGCGAAAGCCUGACCCAGCAACGCCGCGUGGGCGAUGAAGGCCUUCGGGUCGUAAAGCCCUUUUGCAGGGGAAGAUGAUGACGGUACCCUGCGAAUAAGCCACAGCUAACUACGUGCCAGCCGCCGCUGUAA